Molecule: long non-coding RNA, 644 nt
Organism: Cephus cinctus (wheat stem sawfly)
Lineage: Eukaryota; Metazoa; Arthropoda; Insecta; Hymenoptera; Cephidae
Exons: 3
Source: RefSeq, a predicted model, not a curated record
UUGCGUCAAACUUUUUAUGUGCAAUAUUUAUUAAGGUUUUUGUUAUAUCAAAGAAAAAGUGAAGUGUACAAAUGUUCUUAUAAGAAUAUUCAAAUCGUAUUGAAUGAGAGCUCGACAAUUUUCAAUCAGAUACUAGUUUACGAAAUGCUAUACGGAGAGCGUCAACCUCCAGACAAAUUGCUUUAUUUUCCAAUCUCUUAUUGCGAAAUUCGAGUGCAUCCUAUUGAUGCAGCCAAUCAAAAAGUGUCACCUUCCGAUGUCCAAGUAGGAUAUUGAUCGUAUCUAACAGAAAAACAUAAACUCGAAAUUCCGUACGUGGUACACGAUGCGGUUCGUUUCGAAAUUCUCAACGGAGGUAAAAGUCUACCAAUACAAAAAGAAGCAGCGAAACUUAGAUCGCGAUUCCCAAGUGAAGGAUGGAUUGCUGGAAUUCUAGUGUAAAUGUACCUAAGAAUUUCAACUGCAGAAACCAAGAACGUAUCUGAAGUCAAACAGGAGGGAUGCGAACGGUCAGGAGCAAAUGGGGAUGUUGAAUGAAACGGCAAAUAUGCGACCAAGAAGGACCCUCGAUUUAUUUGAGCAACGAUCUCUAAUUUGUCACUGGUCCUCUAAUUAGAGACGGUAUGGGCUCCAUGGAAUUGGAU